RNAcentral lists this ribosomal RNA (309 nucleotides) under Triticum aestivum (bread wheat). Its description in RNAcentral is "partial small subunit ribosomal RNA". Lineage: Eukaryota; Viridiplantae; Streptophyta; Magnoliopsida; Poales; Poaceae. The record is from RNAcentral.
AUGGACUAUGGCAGAAGGUUGUUGGGUUGCCAAUAUGAGGAUUUCAGGGCUUGCGAAUAUGUGAAGUGGAUAGAUCCAAGAUGGGAUGGCCGGGCAAAGACAAUCAUUUGUGAUCUGGCUAUGAAGAACAAACUGUUGCAGGAAGAACUUGAGAAGAAGGAGGCUGAGAAGCAUUGUGAUAGGGAGAAGAAGGUCAUUGCUAGGAUUAAUAAGGAGCAAAUGAUGUGCAUACAUAGGAUUUUGGUACUUGCCAUUAGUAUGUGUGUUGGCUUGUGUGUCAUUCUGUUACCAGUAGCAGGGAAGAAUUAG